UGCUGGAAUUAAAGAUGUGCACCACCACAUCUGGUUUCAUAUAAAAUAGUAAAAAAUUUUGGGCCAGUGAGAUGGCCAGGGAGCUCAGUAUGUAAGAGCCAGCUGUGCAAAUCUGAUGAUGAGAGCUUGGUCCCUGGAAUCCAGGUACCAAGUAGCAUGGAGGUGCGUGGUUUUAACCCCAGAACUUGGGAAGCAGACGCAGGAGGAUCUCAAUGAGUUUGAAUCUAGCUGGUCUACCUAGGGCUUCACACUGAGCUCUGUCUCAAAACCAAAAUAGAGAUGACUGAUAAUAUUUUUGUGGUUUCUCGUAAAUACAUAAAGGAAGUAAAGAGUUCUGCCAAUUGGAUGCACAUAUGCAUAGUAUACACCACUGGCAGGACACUAAUCUCAAUCUAGGAAUGUGUAUAUCUUUCAUACAGAAACAGACAGACAAUGCAUUUACACAAAUUUCCACAAGCACUAGCAACUAAAGAAUGGAAAAAGACACAAACUAGCACUUCACAGAAGAGGGAACACAUUGGACAGUAACCAGGAAGAGGACUGUGGAAGAGGCUCAGCAGAAAAGGACCCUUCCAUAAUUUCCUAUUUCUCUGAAGAUUUGGUGUCCCUUCAACUUGCUGACCUACACCUGAAGUCUGGAUCCAUGAGGAAGAAAUAAAGAAAUACAUUACUUCA
Molecule: long non-coding RNA, 675 nt
Organism: Mesocricetus auratus (golden hamster)
Lineage: Eukaryota; Metazoa; Chordata; Mammalia; Rodentia; Cricetidae
Exons: 2
Source: RefSeq, a predicted model, not a curated record